GCCGGCCCUCGCCUCUCUCGCGCCCCGGGAUCCCCCGGCCCCCGGAUAGACACCCUCUCCGGCACGCGGUCCCCUGACCCGCGCUCCUCCUGGUCGCGCUUCCCGGGACCUACACGUGGGGUCCGAGGACGCGGGCGGAGGGGGCGGCCCGAUUGGGGCCUGUGAGGGGCCCUCCACGCAGGGCUUUGUCUUGGGCCACCCGGACACGGACGCGUCCAGCUGGCGUCCCUGGGCGCGCGGCCGGCUCUCUCUGGGAAUCAGUCCCUUCUACUGUCAUCGAGUUUGGAGAAGCCCGGCUGUACAGCGUUUUCUUUCCUUUUUUUUUUUCCCUUGGGGGCAGAGUUGAAAAUAAUUUGCCAAGUGGAAGCAUUUUAAAUAUAUCACCAUUUGGGCCGGGCGCGGUGGCUCACGCCUGUAAUCCCAGCACUUUGGGAGGCCGAGGCGGGCGGAUCACCUGAGGUCAGGAGUUCGAGACCAGCCUGACCAACAUGGUGAAACCCCCGUCUCUACUAAAAAUACAAAAAAUUAACCGGGCGUGGUGACAGGUGCCUGUAAUUCCAGCUACUCGAGAAGCUGAGGCAGGAGAAUCGCUUGAACCCUGGAGGUGGAGGUUGCAGUGAGCCGGGAUUGCGCCACUGCACUCCAGCCUGGGCAACAAGAGCGAGACUCCAUCUGAAAAAAAGAGAGAGAGAAAGAAAGGAAGAAAAGAAGAAAAGAAAAGAAAGAGGCAUGACAGUGCGGCCACAGGUGUUCCUCUAACUGGGCACGCAGCGGUGCUCCACUAAGCAAACGAAGGAAGCCCACCCCAUCAUGCCCCCACUCCCACGCAGCCCGGAGCAUCCUCCAAUACCCAAACCUCUCGCCUGCCUGGGUUUUAGGGGGAGUGAAGCUCCAGUCACUUCCCCCUGAGGACAUGCUCAGAGUUCAUCUGAUUCGGGCCUGCAUCUGGGGCUCUGGAUAGUCAGGGUCCCUGUCGGUGGCCAAGAUUAAGGGCGAAGUCAGAAGGGAUCACUGGCAGCCCAUUCCCCUGCCAAGGGGUGAGAGGAGCUGCCUUAUUUUUUCUGUGCUGUAUCUUAGAUGAUGACAGGCUAUUCUAGCACAUCAUUUCAGAAGGCCUGGGAUGCUUCUGCCACAGCGGCAGGGCCACGCGUUCUGGCUAUCUGUCUACCUGGUCCCCCCACCGUGAACACGUAAUGACCACCACCAACACUGGGAGGCUGCUCUGUGGUGGCCAUGGGAAGAGCUUGUCCAGAUGGACAGCUCAAACCUGGGGCACGGAGGCUAGCAUCGCCUAGGCGCUUUGAGAGCCAAGCUCCCCAGGCUGUUACAAAAUCACUUUUCCCCAAGUGAUAACAGCAAGUAACACUUUUACCUAAAAACCCAAAAACCCAAAAUGGACAGCCCUCUGGGCCAGGGAUACACUGUCAAAAGGACUGACUCUGAAGGAAGUCUCCCAGCCCUGGGUCCCCUCCCCUUCCUUUCUGUCCCUCAGGACCUUUGCGAAGGUGGCAGAGGACCACCGGACAGGGAGGAAAUUGGGAAGUUGGUGACAAUUAACUCGUUUCAGAAUUCUGGCCACAUGAAAAAAAGGAGAGAAGGAGGCUGGGUCCUCUCCAAGACUGGUGCCCAGGUCUCCCCUGAGUCAGGAAGCAGGUGAUCCCUAUGCCCCCUCUGUAUCGCCCUCAGCCAGCGGCAGGCCCUGAACAGCUGACUGCCCUCAUCUGGGAUCUGCCAUUGACCCCAAAACACCCACCCCCUCUGAGUAAAGGAUGUCGGCCGGACCCUGUUUGUUGGCUAACGUGAGCGAGACCCCUCCUCAGCGGCCAGUGAGGCCCCUUCCUCACAUUCUUCAUGGCAGCAGCACAGGCCUGGCUGUGGGGACCGCCGUCUAAAAGGAGCAACAGUGCGUCUGUCCAUCGCUGUGUCCAGGGCCUCUCGAGACCCCCAGAUGGGCGUGGGGGAGGAGGAGGCUGCUCAGACCCUCAGGAGCCCAGCCUGCCCUGACUGUGAUCCCAGGCCACUUCCUUCCUCAGCCUUCCCCCAGAGCACGCUAGGAGGGGCCGCCAGGAGGGGCAAGUGCCCACAGUCCCCUCAGAAGAGACUGCUGGUCCAGAGGCAGGGAGAAGCUGGCUGGAGCCUGGAGGAUGAUGGCCCCGGCGUCAGGAGUUUCGGCAACUGGACCCUUGAGCAGAGGCAAGCAGUACCCAGAUUCUGUGUCCAGCGGCCGCCCUCAGCCGGGCUCCCUCCCAGUGCCACAGAUGCCCACAGUGCACAGAUGCCCGCCGGGCACUGCUGAAGCUGCUUCGUCACAGCCAAUGCUUGCCUUACCCAGCCUGACUGUGGUCUCCAGACACUAAUGGAGGUACUGGGUGCCUCGCAAAUGCUUCUA
Molecule: long non-coding RNA, 2389 nt
Filed under: Homo sapiens (human)
Lineage: Eukaryota; Metazoa; Chordata; Mammalia; Primates; Hominidae
Description: non-protein coding lnc-ASPSCR1-1:3
Rfam family: Metazoan signal recognition particle RNA (bases 392-509)
Source: RNAcentral